AACGAACGCUGGCGGCAUGCCUAACACAUGCAAGUCGAACGAGACCUUCGGGUCUAGUGGCGCACGGGUGCGUAACACGUGGGAAUUUGCCUCGGGGUAUGGAAUAAACUCAGGGAAACUUGAGCUAAUACCAUAUAAUGUCUUCGGACCAAAGAUUUAUCGCCCUGAGAUAAGCCCGCGUAGGAUUAGCUAGUUGGUGGGGUAAAGGCUCACCAAGGCGACGAUCCUUAGCUGGUCUGAGAGGAUGAUCAGCCACACUGGGACUGAGACACGGCCCAGACUCCUACGGGAGGCAGCAGUGGGGAAUAUUGGACAAUGGGCGAAAGACCUGAUCCAGCAAUGCCGCCGUGAGUGAUGAAGGCCUCGGUUGUAAG
This 374-nucleotide ribosomal RNA is filed under the name uncultured bacterium. Its description in RNAcentral is "bacterial SSU rRNA". It matches the Rfam family "Bacterial small subunit ribosomal RNA", at positions 29 to 429 of the family's 1533-position model. The record is from RNAcentral.